RNAcentral lists this ribosomal RNA (253 nucleotides) under uncultured bacterium. RNAcentral's name for it is "partial 16S ribosomal RNA". It matches the Rfam family "Bacterial small subunit ribosomal RNA", at positions 524 to 776 of the family's 1533-position model. The record is from RNAcentral.
UACGAAGGGUGCAAGCGUUAGUCGGAAUUACUGGGCGUAAAGCGUGCGUAGGUGGUCUCUUAAGUCCGUUGUGAAAGCCCUGGGCUCAACCUGGGAACUGCAGUGGAUACUGAGAAGCUAGAGUGUGUCAGAGGAUGGUGGAAUUCCCGGUGUAGCGGUGAAAUGCGUAGAGAUGGGGGAGAACACUCGUGGCGAAGGCGGCCAGCUAGACCAGUUCUGACACUGAGGCGCGACAGCGUGGGGAGCAAACAGG